CUCCCUGGCAAUGGGCAAAGAAACACCUUCUUGGUGCUGAUAUUCUUCUAUCAGUCAAGGGCAGAGCAGAUGGCAGUCCUUUGUUCAUCCUAGUUUGAUGCCUGGCUUACUGGGCAAAGCUGUCUUAUGUCUAGGACUCAAAA
Apodemus sylvaticus (European woodmouse) is the source of this 143-nucleotide small nucleolar RNA. RefSeq annotates it as small nucleolar RNA SNORA48. NCBI's taxonomy places the organism in Eukaryota, Metazoa, Chordata, Mammalia, Rodentia, Muridae. The transcript has a single exon. The record is from RefSeq and is a predicted model, not a curated record.